GUGGCCAUGGAAGCCUGGAACUCCUACAUCCCAUCUGGGUGAAAGAGAAGGGAAAAAGCCACUUUCACAGAGGGAGGGGGGACGUCAUGAGAUGUGACUUGGGGGAGUAUUCUUAUGUCCUCCCCUUUAAAUUAAUUUUUAAAUUAUAUAAAUAUAUUCGGGAUUUUCUGGUGAUUCAAGCAAACACAGCAUCGAACUUCAGAUCCACAGCAGAGGUGGGUACUUCUGGCUAUGGAGAACGUUGACGAUCAACGAGACGGAUGAAACAAUAUCCCUAUUCAAUAAAAGUGAUACGGAUCUGACAGAACGGGUGUGCUGAGGGUCCUGUCCAUGAAGGAACGUCAUCUGAUGGGACCCAGGAGGAGAGCCUUGUCUGCUGCUAUACCUGACUUUUGAACCAUCAUCCCUCCAAGCCUCUUCCAAUUGCCAUGGACACAUGCACGAAGCCACCAAGAGUUGAGUUGUCUUGAAGAUUUUUCCUUUCCCUUCCAAUUGCCCUGGUCUUGGGGAGGCUGACCAAAGAAAGUAUUUUGGAAGUGGUGGUCCCAUGACCAAACUCAAAAUCUUGCUCAUGCAGCACUUUUAUAAUGUCGAUGACUUUGGUAUUCUCUAAAAGCAACUGCUG
Molecule: non-coding RNA, 625 nt
Organism: Python bivittatus (Burmese python)
Lineage: Eukaryota; Metazoa; Chordata; Lepidosauria; Squamata; Pythonidae
Source: RefSeq, a predicted model, not a curated record